Molecule: ribosomal RNA, 379 nt
Filed under: uncultured eukaryote
Lineage: Eukaryota
Description: SSU rRNA
Rfam family: Eukaryotic small subunit ribosomal RNA
Source: RNAcentral
CAAAACUGCGAAUGGCUCAUUAAAACAGUUAUAAUUUAUUUGGUGAUUUUUUUACAUGGAUAACCGUGGGAAACUAGGGCUAAUACAUGCAAUCAGGCCGCAAGGCUGUAUUUAUUAGUUUUAAAUCAAUAUGGGUCAACCAUAUUAGAGGAAUCAUAAUAACUUAUCGAAGCGCAGUAAAAUGCGCUACACCAUAUAAGUUUCUGCCCUAUCAGCUCUCGAUGGUAGUGUAUUGGACUACCAUGGCUAUCACGGGUAACGGGGAAUUGGGGUUCGAUUCCGGAGAGGGAGCCUGAGAAACGGCUACCAUUUCUAAGGAAGGCAGCAGGCGCGUAAAUUACCCAAUCCUGACUCAGGGAGGUAGUUAAUAGAAAUAACA